RNAcentral lists this ribosomal RNA (279 nucleotides) under uncultured bacterium. RNAcentral's name for it is "partial 16S ribosomal RNA". It matches the Rfam family "Bacterial small subunit ribosomal RNA", at positions 506 to 784 of the family's 1533-position model. The record is from RNAcentral.
UGCCAGCAGCCGCGGUAAGACGAAGGUGGCAACCGUUGCUCGGAUCCACUGGGCAUAAAGCGCGCGUAGGUGGCUAGAAAGGUCAACGGUGAAAUCCCACGGCUCAACCGUGGAACUGCCGUUGAAACCAUCUGGCUUGAGGACGGGAGGGGAGAGUGGAACUCUUGGUGUAGCGGUGAAAUGCGUAGAUAUCAAGAGGAGCGCCGGUGGCGAAAGCGACUCUCUGGACCGUUCCUGACACUGAGGUGCGAAAGCUACGGGAUCAAACAGGAUUAGAUA